Molecule: long non-coding RNA, 608 nt
Filed under: Nicotiana benthamiana
Lineage: Eukaryota; Viridiplantae; Streptophyta; Magnoliopsida; Solanales; Solanaceae
Description: long non-coding RNA (NBEN_LNC006654)
Source: RNAcentral
AAGUGGAAACAGCUGCUUCGCAGAUCGAGCAGGAGCAGGAGCCGGUGAUGGAUGAUGAUUAUAGCGAUGAGGAGAUUGAUGUGGAUGAGCUGGAGAGGAGAAUGUGGAGGGACAAGAUGAAGCUGAAAAAGCUGAAAGAAAUGACUAAGGAGGGUAAGGAAGGUGUCGACGCUGUCAAACAACGCCAAUCUCAGGAGCAAGCGAGGAGGAAGAAGAUGUCGAGGGCACAAGAUGGGAUCUUGAAAUACAUGUUGAAGAUGAUGGAAGUGUGUAAAGCUCAGGGUUUUGUUUAUGGGAUUAUCCCGGAGAAAGGGAAACCAGUUACCGGGGCAUCUGAUAAUCUCAGGGAGUGGUGGAAGGAUAAAGUGAGGUUCGAUCGAAAUGGACCUGCAGCCAUAGCUAAGUACCAAGCUGAUAAUGCGAUUCCGGGCGAGAAUGAGGGAUCUAAAUCGAUUGGUCCUACCCCUCAUACUUUGCAGGAGCUUCAAGAUACCACUCUUGGUUCUUUAAGAAAUGACUAAGGGGGGUAAGGAAGGUGUCGACGCUGUCAAACAACGCCAAUCUCAGGAGCAAGCUAGGAGGAAGAAGAUGUCGAGGGCACAAGACGG